This 323-nucleotide ribosomal RNA is filed under the name uncultured bacterium. RNAcentral's name for it is "bacterial SSU rRNA". It matches the Rfam family "Bacterial small subunit ribosomal RNA", at positions 29 to 334 of the family's 1533-position model. The record is from RNAcentral.
AUGAACGCUGGCGGCGUGCUUAACACAUGCAAGUCGAACGAAGCACCUUGAUUUGAUUCUUCGGAUGAAGAUCUUGGUGACUGAGUGGCGGACGGGUGAGUAACGCGUGGGUAACCUGCCUCAUACAGGGGGAUAACAGUUAGAAAUGACUGCUAAUACCGCAUAAGACCACAGCACCGCAUGGUGCAGGGGUAAAAACUCCGGUGGUAUGAGAUGGACCCGCGUCUGAUUAGGUAGUUGGUGGGGUAACGGCCUACCAAGCCGACGAUCAGUAGCCGACCUGAGAGGGUGACCGGCCACAUUGGGACUGAGACACGGCCCAA